UACGUAGGGUGCAAGCGUUAAUCGGAAUUACUGGGCGUAAAGCGUGCGCAGGCGGUUAUGUAAGACAGAUGUGAAAUCCCCGGGCUCAACCUGGGAACUGCAUUUGUGACUGCAUAGCUUGAGUGCGGCAGAGGGGGAUGGAAUUCCGCGUGUAGCAGUGAAAUGCGUAGAUAUGCGGAGGAACACCGAUGGCGAAGGCAACCCCCUGGGCCUGUACUGACGCUCAUGCACGAAAGCGUGGGGAGCAAACAGG
This 253-nucleotide ribosomal RNA is filed under the name uncultured Comamonadaceae bacterium. RNAcentral's name for it is "partial 16S ribosomal RNA". It matches the Rfam family "Bacterial small subunit ribosomal RNA", at positions 524 to 776 of the family's 1533-position model. Lineage: Bacteria; Pseudomonadati; Pseudomonadota; Betaproteobacteria; Burkholderiales; Comamonadaceae. The record is from RNAcentral.